Molecule: ribosomal RNA, 253 nt
Filed under: uncultured bacterium
Lineage: Bacteria
Description: partial 16S ribosomal RNA
Rfam family: Bacterial small subunit ribosomal RNA
Source: RNAcentral
GACAGAGGGUGCGAACGUUGUUCGGAAUUACUGGGCGUAAAGCGCAUGUAGGCGGCAGCGCAAGUCGGGCGUGAAAUCCCACGGCUCAACCGUGGAAGUGCACUCGAAACUGCGCAGCUAGAGUCCUGGAGAGGAAGGUGGAAUGCUUGGUGUAGAGGUGAAAUUCGUAGAUAUCAAGCGGAACACCGGUGGCGAAGGCGGCCUUCUGGACCAGCACUGACGCUGAGGCACGAAAGCGUGGGGAGCAAACAGG